AGAGAGACAGCCCCACGCCCGGCAAGACGCAACUCCGGGCCACGGAGGGCGCCGCCCGGACAGCCCGGCCGGGUCAGGGGGCUUCGCCGCCGAGCACCCUCCGGCAGCCGCCCUCGGGCCUCCGCGGCCGGGCGGGAGGGCGCCUCCCCGACCACACUUCGGCCGCUUGGCACCCACAGCCGGGAGGGCGUGAGGAAGGACUCGGUCUAACUCCGGGGAACCCUCGGAGUUCCGGCGCAGACACCCGAGGGGGUGUCCUGGGAACUCCUUCGCCCGCGACACCCGUUCUUCUCCGUCUCCCGACCACCAGCGACGCAGCAGGGCGGCUGCCGGCCCGGCCCGGCCCGCCUUGCGGGCUGUGCGCGGCGCAGCUCUUCCUCCGCGGGGCCGUGAAGGCCACCGGCCGCCCCCGCGCGCCCAGCUGCCCGGCCCCGCCGCCUAAGCCGCCGCGUUGCUGGCGGGUAGCCGCGGGCCUCCGGUGCGCGGGCCCCGGCGCGUCCCCGAGCGCGCGCCUGGCCGCGGCCCCGCGCGAGUUGCACUAACUUUCCGGGGCGGGGGAGGGGUGGGCGCCGCGGGCCCGGCUCCCAGGCCUUACCUGUGCUCAAGUUGUCGUUGAUUUUCAAAGGCACCCGCAGGAUGUAGACCAGGAAUAGCACGAUGAAGAACCACACGGUCCACAGAUACGUCCAAGACCAAACUAUGCAGGACUUGAGCUGCUCCAGAAAGCCCGUGGCCGCUUCAGCCAUGUUUCAGCGCUCCUCUCUGCUGCCGCGGCUCUUGGUGUCUGCCGGGAUGAUUCACCGGCCCGGAGGCGCAGCUCGCGCCGCCGCCGCCGCCGCGGCCCGGGCGCCCCCGGAGCCCGCCCGCCGCCGGGGACGCGGGCUCGGCGGGAAAUCGCGCGGGCCGCGGGCGCGCCGGCUUUUCCUUCUCCAGCCUUAUUGCUAACUCUCUAAAGGUCCCUACAAGUGGCUUUCGUGGAGCGAUCACGUGGCCCCUGCCCCCUCGCGUUCUGGGUCCAUUUAUAUUUAUUAUGCUAAUAUUUAGAAAGAGAAGGCCAAGUGGCGCGCCGAAGGAAACGCCUCAGGCAGUUACAACCCGCAUAAGUUGAGCGUUUACCACACGCCAGGCGCUGCUCCACGAUCCGUACAAUCUCAUUUAACCCCUGCAACAAUUCCCCACUACGAUCCUCUUUCUAUAGGUAGGGAAACUGAGGCUCACAGCAGCUGCGUAGUUUACCUUAAGGUGGAACCAAAAUUCAAUUGCAGUGGUGUAUUCUGGGGUCCGAGGUCUUAAACCCUACUCUGCUCCCUUAUCAGGAUUCAGGCUCAGGGAAUGAAUAAACCCGGGACAGCUAGGAGAAGGGAGGAGGUGCGCUCCUGUCGCCGGCUAGUAGGCCUGAAGAUAAAUCACUCUAUUCAGCAAGAUUUGGGUGGCAGAUGCUAUUUACCUUUGUUCUGUCUCUUUGAAGCAGCGCAGGGAUUUUCCAGAGAAAUCUUGACAGAUGAAUGUUUAUCCUCCAGGUUUUUUGGUGAUCAGAGGUCAAACUAUUCUCAGCCUGUUUUUAAUAUAAACAAUUCUCUGGGAUAAUUUUGACUGUGAAACGGCCACCUCUAACAGAAAGUCCAUUUUAAACAUUGUUUUGUUGUUUUUGUUUUGUUUUGACUGUGCUGAAUAAAAUGUUUCUUUUAUUCUA
Molecule: long non-coding RNA, 1693 nt
Filed under: Homo sapiens (human)
Lineage: Eukaryota; Metazoa; Chordata; Mammalia; Primates; Hominidae
Description: HSALNT0342943
Source: RNAcentral